ACCUCCGGUGGGGUCGUGGUCGCCCCAGUUCAUGGCGAUGGGGGGUGUCCCCGUGGUGUUGGGGUACCCCCGCCUCCUCCCCUCCUCCGGCCGGGAUGGGAGGAGAGUCUCGCUGGCAGCGGGAGGCGCCCGGGGCGGUGUGGCGCGGCGGGGCCACCAGGUGGCGCUAUUGUGCCGCGCUGCGCCGCCCCGAGCGGCGGCGGGGACCGGGAUGGGACGGAGCGGGAUGAACCGGGACCGGGACGAGACGGACCGGGAGGAGAGGGGAGGGGGGAGACGACGGGAUGGGACGAAGCCGGCCAGGACGAACGGGGACGGGUUAAACCGGGGCACGGUUCAACCGGGACGGGCUGGGCUCAACCGGGGCACAGCUCAACCGGGACAGGGUGGGCUCAACCGGGGCACGGCUCAACCGGGGCACAGCUGAACAGGAACGGGCUGAACCGGGACUUGAGGGGCUCAACCGGGGCACAGCUCAACCAGGACGCAGCUCAACCGGAACGAGUUGAACGGGGAUUUGAGGGGCUGAAGUGGGGCACGACUCAACCGGGACAGACUGAUCCGGGACGGGACGGGUUGAACCGGGGCACGGCUCAGCCGGGACUGACUGAAUCGGGACGGGUUGAAACGGGGCACGCUGGAACUGGGCCAUGUCAUCUGGGCACAGCCGAACCGGGAAGGGAUACAGGCAAACCGGGACACAUCCGAUUCGGGACACAGCCGUACCGGGAGGAGGCACAGCUGAACCAGGCACGGCCAGUUCAUCCUCUGCCUGGAUUGGGAGCACCCUGGGCUGUGUCUGCCCCAGAACUGUCUGUCCCCAUCCCUGGACACAUCCCACAGACCCCUUCUCUGUGGGGGAUGUCUCUGGAAUGGGACACCCACUGCUGUACCUGGAAUAAAGUCAAUGAAACCCCUGUGGCUAUGGAAGCUGGUACUGGGAGAGGCUGGGGUCAGGAGCAGGCAUGCAGUGGCAUGGCAUGGCAUGGCAUGGCAUGGAAGCCUGGAGCC
This 1011-nucleotide long non-coding RNA is filed under the name Calidris pugnax (ruff). RNAcentral describes it as "lncRNA (ENSCPUG00000006299.1)". Lineage: Eukaryota; Metazoa; Chordata; Aves; Charadriiformes; Scolopacidae. The record is from RNAcentral.